AAAGUUUUCGAUCACUGUUAAUGAGUGAGUUGUUUGCAAAUGACUCUACAGUCAGGUGUAAUGUUGAGAAAAUGUUUAAUCCUAUCUGGAAAAAGUUAUUACUUGAGUCGCUACCAUCCCACACACAGGUGUCAGACACACUGCUCCGGCUGAAUCACCAUACGAAUGACUGGAGCGUAUGCGCCUCUCAACCGGACCAAGAUGGCGGCCGUAUUUCUCAUUGCGCAGCGCCCCAAGUGGGGUCUACUCUUUAUUAUGUCUAUGGAUGAAAGCACAUCCUUCCUCCGGGGUGGAGAAGCUCUUUCUUUAGCCUCCGUGAGUUGCCUGCAAAGCGGCCGGGAGCAGCAUGGCAGACGGCGCUCCUGCUUCCCUCAGCUGCUGUUUCAGCCCAUCGUAUGCCUCACGUUUCUUCAUCCCAGUCGUGGCGAAAUCGCUGUGAACAGAGACCCUGGAUCCAUUGCAGAUCCUGGCUGGCCCAGCUGGCUCCAUCACCCUCUGAAAUGGCAGCGGCGGCGGCCUGGGCUCCUGAUGCAGUCCGACCUCCAUACCAGGGUGUGAUGACUCUUUCUUGCUUCAUGCCUUGGGCCUUGGUCGUCAUCUUUCAGACAUCAGGUAGCCAUGACUGAAACAGUCCAGCGGCUGCCUGGUCUCUGUGUCCUCCGUUAAAUCCACAACCCGAACGUUGAGGCGGCUCAUGUUGUCCUCAACCAUGUCCAAACUCUCCGUCAGGACGCUGACCUGUUCUUCCAGCUCCACAAUCCAUGGCUCUUGUGUUGCGGCAAAGGUUUCCACCACCAUCAGCCUAGUUUCCAUGUCUUUCUGACCUUUAUAUCCUCCAGUUCUCCCCACGUUAUUGAAAGUCUGCGGCCAAAACUUUUCUAAGGACACAGCCCGUACUGUUCGGAAGAAAAUGUUGCAACACUCUCGGUCGUUGUCAGGAGAAACAGAAGAUCAGCGCCAAGUGGAACGGAGCUCUGCAGUCACCAGUCCUCCGGAGCAGCGAGCUGCGUCUCCUUUAAAAAACAUCCUGCUCCUCUGGUGGAGAUAAGGUCGCACAUCCAGAUCGUGGCGCAGUUCACUUCACAAGUCUCCUUGUCUCCAGGAUCUCUGCUCCAUCUGACUGGUCCACAGGAAGAAAUAGUCAAUAAUAAAUGUCUGCAGCGCCAGAGACAGCACUGUCAGGACCACGCCAUAAGGACCGUGCUUUAGCGCCCCCUAUCGAGCCAUAGUUGAAGAACCGGAGACCGCACCGUCAGGACCGGGCUUUCAGUGAGAUCACUGUGUUGACUGAAGAUGUCUGGUGUGGAUGAAGAGGAGGACAGAUCAGGUGUGGACAGACAUCAGCAGCUGAGACACACAGCAGAGUCUUCAGGUUCCAGCAGGUUGUCUCUAAAAAGUAACCAGUCCAAAGGUCUUUUACCAGCCUUCAGUGUUGAACCUGGACCUUCAGACACAAAAGAGAAGAGGACUGAUGUCUGUGAGGAGCAGCCAGAAAGAUCCAGAAGUAAGAGAGAAUCAGAAUCAGAAUCAUUUAUUAAUGGCCACACAACAAAGCUGGUGGAAUUUGUUUCCGGUACAGCACUUAAUGCUCACAUCUCACAGGGUCAGUUACAGUGUCAGCAAACCGAACAUUACAUUCAAUAGACAUGAAUGAUUAUACAACAGAUUACAUCAAGGCAAUGGUUGGUUUAAAGUCCGUAUAGCUGUGGGAAAGAAACUGUUUUUAAAUCUGACUGAUUUAGUUGUCAGAGACCUGUAGCGCCUCCCGGAGGGCAUGAGUGUGAACAGGUGAUGAGCAGGGUGUGUAUGGUCUGAGAUAAUUUUCCUUGCACGCUGUGUGAUGCGUCUUCUGUACAGUGUGUCUAUGGAUGGAAGAGUGUGGCCAGUGAUUUUGGAGGACUUAUUGAUAAUGCGUUGGAGUUUUUUACGUGAGUGACUGUCCAAAUUUCCAUACCAGACUAUUAUUGAAGAGGUGAGAAAACUUUCAAUAAUGGCUGUGUAAAACUGAAUGAGAAUGUUGUGUCUGACUCUGAAUUUCUUGAGUUGCCUAAAGAAAAAAUAGUCUUUUAUUGGCUUUUUUGUAAAUUUCGUCUGAGUGCUGCUUAAAUUUGAGUGAGUUAUUGAUGUGUGUCCCAAGGAAUUUAAAUGAAUCCGUAAUGUCUAUAACAUCAGUGCUGAUGAGGAUGGGUGCUUUAAGAGUAGGUGAGCGUGAAAAGUCAAUGAUCAGUUCUCUUGUUUUUGAUGCGUUGAGUUGAAGGUUGUUAGUAUGGCACCAAGUGACUGCUUGGGUGACCUGCUCGCGACAGUGUUUUUCAUUAUUGUCAGAGAUAAGUCCAAUUAUUGUGGUGUCAUCUGCAUAUUUGAGGAUGGAUACUGAGCUGUGUGAGGAUGUGAGUGUGUUUGUGUAGAGUGAGAAUAACCAGGGCGAUAGGACACAACCCUGAGGGGCCCCGGUGCUGAGGGUCAGAGGUCGGGAUAAGGGACCACCCAUCCUGACUCUCUGUGUCCUUUCUGAGAGGAAGCUCCUGAUCCAGUGGCAUAACGAAAUAUCAAUGUCCAUAUCCAUAAGUUUAUUGAAUAGAUUGACCGGGUCAAUAGUAUUAAAGACGGAGCUAAAAUCAAUGAACAGCACACGGGCGUAGGUGCGGGGGGUCUCAAGAUGGUGCAGGAUCCUGUGAAGAGCCAGAUUUACUGCAUCUUCCACCGACCUAUUGGCCCUGUAUGCAAACUGGAAACUGUCCAUAAGGGGGGUGGUGAGUUCUUUGAGGUGAGAGAGGAUAAUUCUUUCAAAUGCUUUCAUAAUGACAGAUGUGAGAGAGAUUGGUCUGUAAUCAUUAAGACAUGAUAUUUUAUUGUUCUUUGGGACCGGGAUGAUGACAGAGUCCUUGAAGCAUCUGGGAACUGUGCACUGAAUGAGAGAGCUGUUGAAGAUGUUGGUGUAUACUGGGGCUAGCUGGUAUGCACAGUGUUUCAAAACAGAUGGACUUACACCAUCAGGACCAGGAGCUUUCCCCUUUUUUGACCUAAUAAACCAUGUUCUCACCUCCUCUUCCUGGAUGGAAAAAGGAGGCGACGGCAGAGGGGACGGAGGGGAGUAGGUAGGAAUGGGUAGGUGCUCAAACCUCGCAUAGAAGGUGUUUAACUGAUCUGGGAGGUUUUUGUCAGUGUCAGAAGUUGGAGCAGUGCUGCUUUUAUAGUUGGUCAUUGUUUUAAUUUUUUUCCAGACGGCCUUGGUGUCAUUUGUGGCAAUCUGCUGCUCCAAUUUGUGUUCAUACCUAGAUUUAGCUUUUCUAAUAGCAGCUCUGAGCUCGUAUUUGGCUGCCCUGUAUUGCCCCAUAUCACCCUCAGCAAAGGCACAGCAUUUUUUCCUGCGUCGGGUUUGAAUGUCCUCCGUAAACCACGGCUUGUUGUUACUGUGAAUUUUCACAGUGUUGGUAGGGAUGCACGUCCCGACGCAGAAGUUAAUGUAUGACGUCACUGUAUCCAUCAGUUCAUCCAGACUAGCCGCCGCUGCGCGAAAUACAUCCCAAUCAGUGCACUCAAAACAGCCUCUCAAAGUGUCAACGGCCGCGCUCGACCAGCACUGGACAACCUUGGAUUGUACAUGGUUGGAUUUUAGUUUUUGUCUGUAUUUUGGGACGAGCAGCAGCGUGGCAUGGUCCGACCUGCUCAGCGGUGCCCUCGGAAAGGACCGGUAUGCAUCGCUGAUGGGGACGUAGCAGUGGUCGAGGAUGUUAGCGCCUCUGCUUGGACAGAUAACUUGCUGGAUGUAGUUGGGAAGAUCCUUUGACAGAUUGGCGUGGUUGAAAUCGCCCACUACGAUCACCGACGCGUCGGGAUUACAGUUUUCCACAGAGGAGAUGUAGGUUGCUAACUCUGAAGUGGCUUCGUUAGCAAAAGCCGACGGCGGGAUAUAAACGCCUAUCAAAACAACAGAAGCAAACUCUCUAGGAAGAUAAUAUGGCCUGCACUUCACACAGAUGUAUUCCAGAUGAGGGCUACAGAAGUUGGUAAGCAUCUUGUUGUUGCUGCACCAUCUCUGGUUGAUCAUGAGACAGAUUCCGCCACCUUUGGUUUUCAUUGAUAGCUUCACUGACCUGUCAGCACGGUGUAGAGAGAAGCCGGGUGGAGUAAUAGCCUGGUCAGGUACGGUGUGGUCCAGCCAGGUCUCUGUUAGGCAGAUGGCAGAGCAGUCUCUGUAGUCCUUGUUGGUUUGAAGCAGGAGGAACAGUUCAUCUAUUUUGUUUCUGAUUGAUCGGACAUGGGUGAGAAGCAGUGCUGGUAGUGGUGGCCGGUAUGGGCGCUUCCUGAACCUGCAGAGAACACCGGCAUGACGUUGUUUGCUAGCCGGCUUGUGAUACCAGCGCUGGUCUGCUGGUAUAGGUGUAGCAAGUAUCUCUGCAGGAAUACUUGAGAUCCACACUUCAUCAGCGAUGUAGGGAUUAUCCCUUAAGGAAAGCAACUCCAGACGGCUGUAUGUGUAGCAUAGUGACUUCCUGGCAUGGAAAGCCGACAGCAGUAGCAGACCCAGUAGCAGAGCUGGCACCGUGGCAAGCCUCACGGCCGCCAUCUUGGAGAAGGUUAAACUCCCGUUCUGAAUGGACAUGUGUCUGCUGAGGAAGCUGGGACUUGUUGUGUUGUAGAGACAUGAAAGCUUGUUGUUUGUGUGCAGUGUGAUUGUUGUUGUUGUCUGUGAGCAGGUGUGGGUCUGCAGCAGCUUCUA
Molecule: long non-coding RNA, 4723 nt
Organism: Salarias fasciatus (jewelled blenny)
Lineage: Eukaryota; Metazoa; Chordata; Actinopteri; Blenniiformes; Blenniidae
Exons: 6
Source: RefSeq, a predicted model, not a curated record